UGCCCAGCAACUCCUAUCCCUACCUCCUCGCGGUACUGGCCGGGGUACGAGCACCUUAGGGAAGAUCGGGUAACCAAUCUCGGUGGGAACUUUGGUCGUAUGCUCACAGGGAAGA
Molecule: ribozyme, 115 nt
Filed under: Aedes aegypti (yellow fever mosquito)
Lineage: Eukaryota; Metazoa; Arthropoda; Insecta; Diptera; Culicidae
Description: drz-agam-1 ribozyme
Rfam family: drz-agam-1 ribozyme
Source: Rfam by way of RNAcentral